RNAcentral lists this ribosomal RNA (253 nucleotides) under uncultured bacterium. RNAcentral's name for it is "partial 16S ribosomal RNA". It matches the Rfam family "Bacterial small subunit ribosomal RNA", at positions 524 to 776 of the family's 1533-position model. The record is from RNAcentral.
UACGUAGGGUGCAAGCGUUGUCCGGAAUUAUUGGGCGUAAAGAGCUCGUAGGCGGUCUGUCGCGUCGGCUGUGAAAACCCGGAGCUCAACUCCGGGCCUGCAGUCGAUACGGGCAAACUGGAGUGUUGCAGGGGAGACUGGAAUUCCUGGUGUAGCGGUGAAAUGCGCAGAUAUCAGGAGGAACACCGGUGGCGAAGGCGGGUCUCUGGGCCGAUACUGACGCUGAGGAGCGAAAGCGUGGGUAGCACACAGU